AAUGGAAAUCGGACAAAAGGGGAGGCGGGAAGAGAAGGAAAGAAGGAAAGAAGGAAUCCCUCUCUCUCCUUCAGAGCGCACUUUCACUGAAGUAAGCCAACAGUAAAGUAAUGGAGUCGCCGAGGCAUUCGUGCUUGAAGCUCGAGCUCCCAAAUCCUACCGAGCCCGAUGAGAUCGAGCCGAUUUUCAUCAAGGCCACAUGUUUCGACCCUUCGCGGUUUCGCGUCUGGGUUUUACAGCAUCGGAGGAAGAAGUGAGGGAACGAGCGGCUCAGUGGGACCAGCCAGAGGCAGAUUACAUUGAAUUGGCUGAGCGGUACUUAGGGUUUCAGCAGCCCGGUUCUGUUUACAAGUUCACCGACGCCGAAAACAGGUAGACAAGAGUAUGUGCUUUUCUCCGGCGUCAUCCCCCCAAAAAUUCUAUUUAAUUUUGCUGGAAUACUUUCUGUUUCCAAUCUUUGUAUCUGUGGUUCUACCUGUGGUCCCCUUUUAUUAGAUGACAUUGAUGUUUAUCUGCCUGAUCUAUCGAGUUUUGCAAUUAUCAUGGACCUAAGGAAAGGACAAAGCUGGAAUGGCGAUGGAAAUGCCAACCUUCACCCAAUCCUCAACAGACCAAUUCAGGAAUCUUGAACUUUCUUAUGGAUGCAAACAUAAGGCUCAGUGUAAGCCUCCUAAGAUUAUAAUUGGUUAAACAUUAUUAGUAUAAUAUUUUAUAUGGCUGCUUGGAGAAGAAAUAAGCCGUUAGUUUCACAAACUAUCUCCUCUGGUUUGAAGUAUCAUUUGACCCACUGGGAUCAAAGAUAAAAUGACUAAAAAGUAAAACUAUAGCUUAACUGGUUCACACUACAAUGAAACUCUUGACUUCUUAUUUGAUAGUUAUCUAUUAAGAGGAAGAAGUUGUCAGAAAAACUAAAUCAUUUGAGAGGUUAAAAGUGGAAACUGAGAAUGCCUGGCACAGAGUGAACGUUUCAGCAAUGAGAAGACAGAGUUUGUGUCUGCAAUCUAUGCAAAGGUGUUUUCUUCUUUCCUCUUUUAUCAUGGGAAUAGGUAAUAUAUCCAAGCAAAGGUGCUUUUUGUUCUUCUGAUGGAUAUGGCUUCUGAUAAUUACGCACUCUUAGAGAUAAAUUAGACCCUCAUGAGUAAUGUUUAUCUUUUACUAUUAAAACUAUGUGCUUCUUGCAGUUUUUCACUCUAAUAACUAUGUAAUUAUUCAGCCUGAAAGUUAGUUAAAUGUGAAAGGGCAAUUAGUUUCCAUAAUUCUUAAACUUGAUCAAGAGAAAAUGUCUAAAGAAUUACGUUUACCUUAUGGCUGUAACUCAUGUUUUCUACAUGAUGAAUUGAUUAUAUCUUCUCUGUGUUGAGGAGAAAAGAAAAAAGGAAGAAAGAAAAAGAAACUAAGAUGAGAGGAAGGGCUUGAAAAUUCUGUUUGUUGGGUUAACCAAAGCCAAAUCAAAUUGAUAAUGUUGGGUUUUUAUUGUCCAAUCUGGUUCUGGUUAUGUUAUAAUUCACUGAUAAUCCACGACUGAACUUAUGGUACAUGACGAAGACCGUCUAACUUUUUGUUGGCAUAUGAUUGGAGCACUUGAUGAAUUGCACGUGAAUAUAAUGAGCAACCUUUAGUAUUACAUCUCAGUCGCGAAAUUGAUUUUGGUCUUGUUUAUGAUGUAGUUCCUUAGUGUCUUAAAUUAGAAGAAAGGGAAACUAAGGGAGCUCCAGGAGCAACUUGUCAAGGCAGGUGGUAAAGGUGGGAAAUCACCAGAAGAAAACGAGGAAUCCACGGAAAAGACGGACCCUUUUGAUGAGGGAAGUGACAGGGAGGUAGAGACCAUAAAGAGCGGCACUGGGACAUCAGAAGAUGUCCAGAAGGGUAAAUCCCGUGGUCGGAAGAGGAUUGCAUUGAAAUGAAUAGUUCUAUAGACCAAGACUGCUUUUGCUUAGGCGGAACAAGCUUUCUUUCCCUUAUAUGUACAGAGACUUGUUCUUUCACAUUGCUGAUGGUGUUUUUUUGUAGAUACCUCAUUUUGUCAUUGUGCUGAUGGCCUUUUCUUGUAGAUACCUCAUUUUUGUAAUUGCACAUAUCUAAGGUUGUUGAUUGUACAACAUGGCCUGGCGUCCAUUAGCAGUAGAAAUGGAAAUUUUGGAUUAUGAAAGGACUUAUUUUAUGAUU
This is a non-coding RNA of Punica granatum (pomegranate), 2166 nucleotides long. The record is from RefSeq and is a predicted model, not a curated record. NCBI's taxonomy places the organism in Eukaryota, Viridiplantae, Streptophyta, Magnoliopsida, Myrtales, Lythraceae.